UGUGGGAAAGACCUUUCACAGAUCAUGCAACUGCCUGAAGUGAUUGAAAAGGUCCAGGGCUAAUUGUUUGUCCCUGUCUCUUCUUYAGAGUAAAAAGAGGAGGGAAUAUCACCACUUUCCCUAUGGACUUUGGACUUGGACCCUGUAUUCCGGGCUGAGCUGUCAAGCAAAGAGCAAGAAGAAUCCAGCCCAUCUCAUGUGAG
Long non-coding RNA from Nothoprocta perdicaria, 203 nucleotides. RefSeq lists it as uncharacterized. Lineage: Eukaryota; Metazoa; Chordata; Aves; Tinamiformes; Tinamidae. The record is from RefSeq and is a predicted model, not a curated record. The transcript is spliced from 2 exons.